RNA transcript from Acyrthosiphon pisum (pea aphid), 774 nucleotides. RefSeq lists it as uncharacterized. The record is from RefSeq and is a predicted model, not a curated record. Lineage: Eukaryota; Metazoa; Arthropoda; Insecta; Hemiptera; Aphididae. The transcript is spliced from 2 exons.
UCUGUAUAAAAUCUCAAAGGUCGACGGAAUAAUAAAAUAUAUAACGUUAUACGAACGUACUGGAUUUCGACGGUUCUUUUUCCGUUUUCUUUUUUACGUGUCGUAAGCCGUGGCCGGACUAACAUCAAACGCCGCUCGCGCGGUAGGUACAGGUACCUAGGUAUACUUAUCGGUCACGCACAUCACACACCGCCGCCUAUAUAUCGUCUAAUUGCCAUUAACGUGUGAACCGGCUGUUCAAAACAUCGAAACGGUCACGACGGUGGAGGCCCCACGCACUCGGGUACACCUCCGAUGGACGAUAUAGUUACCACCGUCUCUGAAUCGAAAAACACCAUAUUAUCGUAUAAUGUGCAUACUAAUAUACCUUAAUAUAAUUACGUGUGUGUGUGUGUGUGUGUAAAGUGUACAGUGUACAUGGAUCGCGAUGUCGAUUAAAAACGAGUAAAAUGUAAGCGAUCGGUGGCAGCAGCGGCGGCGACGGUUGAAACCUUCCGGUCUUUUCCUGCUGCAGUCGUGUAAUGAUGGAAAACGUGAGCCGCCCAUUUCCCCCGAAAACCGUUUCUGGAUGGUUGUUGACGGAAAAAAAAAUUUCAUCGUCGACGAAAUAGCAACAAUGCAUUAUAUUAUAUACUUCACUUCAUGCGGCUUUACAAUACGAUAUAUUAUAAGAACGCAAAAUUAUAACAUAGCAGCUAUACCCAUGUUAUAGAAGCUUAUUAGUUUGUUUAUAUUUUUUCAGUUCGUUAAUGUAUUAUACCUACCUAAUAUUUA